UAAAAAAUGGGUACAAGAGAAAGUGGUAUUUGACGUUAGCCAAGUACUGCUGCCUGAGAAGGGCCCCUGAGCCUUAGACCUGCGCGUUCCUUGUUUGUAAAGGGACACUGGCGAGUGUCAGACAGGUGCUGGAGAUGGACCGUCACUAACAAGACGUUUUCUUGGAUGUGACCGGCACAGAGGAACGAGAGGGUGGAAGGAGCCAGCUCCCUCGGGCCAUUGCGUCCAUUACCCACAGGCCACACAGGCCCUCACCCGCCCUGGGGGGAAACACUGGCCCCGAGGCCCCCGAGGAGCCCUGUCUUGCUGGACCGUGUCUGCACCAGGGAUCCUCCCACAGGACUCGGCUACGGGCACAAUUUGAAAGGUAAAUCGGGGACACACAUUUCAGGUGUGUUAAUGCAAAACGCAGAUCUCUGGUGCUCAAGGCGAACCCUGAGCUCAGGCACCUUGAGGGGCCCCGGGAACACCUGUGCGCCCUGGGACCACGUGCUGUGCAGCCCCGGAUGCCAAGGGGUCCAAGAUCUAGCUCAGACCCCCCCGGCCACCAGCACUGUGGGCUCAGGAGACUCUAUCCUCGCCUUGCAGGAGCUCGGAGGCGUGGGAGGAGGCCCUAGAGGUCACCCGCAGAGCACAGCAGCCUUUGAGAACAAGGGUAGCCUGAUAAAGUGUCCUGGAACAUUCUGAACUCGCUAAGUUCUAUCCCGGUGGGGCUUUGUCUGCAGAGGCAGUCAUUAAAAGGGACAGAAAGCACGAACCCAGGUCCCUCUGGCUCCCCUCUGCUGCCUGUCCCGGCAGCUCUAGGGGCUCAGAAUAGGCACUUCACACUUUUAUGGUCAAUCACGGUCCUCCGGCAUAGUGUUUGGAGCCCCUCCGCCCAAGAACUGAAAUGGAGGAGCUGGUGCGGACACACCCCCUCUCUCCACGGACUUCAGCUGGCUCUAUGGACAUCUCACUUUGGGGAAAGUGUGUCUCCUCCUGAGAUCAGAAGAGAAGUGAAGAGAGAGAGAGACAGAAACUUUCUCCAUGUCGUUGGAGACAGGAAGCUCCCCCGCUGCCACACGAGACUUGACACCCCAGUCUGGUGUCUGGCCCGGAAAAGGGACCAUCAGACAUGGUAUCUGAAAACAACAUAGCUUAGCGAGCGUGCUGUAUUUGAAGAACACUUAAAAUCCUAUGUUCACUGCUAUUUUGGCGAAUUUUGCAUAUGUGUCAGUUGAAUCAUUUGAAACUGCCCAUGUUCUUCCUUUUUUGACUUCCCAAGAUGUCCAUUUCCACCUAAUGACAACUGACACCACACCUCAGAAAUGAUGCAAACAUGUUGCAACAAAGUAGGCUGAUUCCACUGUUUCGCAUGAGAAAGAGGAUUUUGCUGAAGGUUAAGGAGGUCAGGCUUGGUUACAGACAGUGGCUGUGUGAGCUGUUGUGAUCUGUCAGACGCUGUGGCCAGGUGAGGAUGAGUAUUCAGUGCGGCAGGUGUGGGCUGACAGCUGGCUUACCGAAGAAGAGAAUCAUGAGGUCAGAGUGGUCCCAGGAAGAGACUCAGCCCAGAGACGUCCAAACUUCCUGGAAGGCAGAGCUUCAUGGGGGAUUAAGCUUGGCAGUUGUAAUUCCACCCUAGGCGGGGAGAGCCCCUUUGCAGCAGAGCAGACGGCUCUGGACUCUGCACGGCUGCCUGCUGACCUUUCCCUGGGUCACUUCAUCAGCUUCCCGCACCUCUCACAGCGCUCAGUGCCGUGUUGGGGGUGCGCAGGCCCUCCACUCAAGCUGCCACCGUCGUGGCAGGAUCUCUGUGCUCCAACAGCACUGCUUUGCUAACCUCUGAUGUGAACUGAGAUGUUGGCCUCGGGGGCCGGGACACCGUCCAGCUCAGUGCAAGCACCUGCUGGCUGGUCCAGGCAAAUUGUGAAGGGCCGACUCGGGGCCACAAACCUCCCCCCUGUUCCUCACUCUUUGUGUCUCCCCGGCAAGGUGACUCGGAGUUUCAAUUCCAUCUUUGUCUUUUUUAGAGUAUCUGCGGCCUUUGAAGGCAGCUGCUGGGGAAUCGGAUUCCCCUGCACAGGUCCCGGGCAUUCUCCCAAAACGCUGGUGGACGCGGGAGGCUCUCCCUGGGGUUACAGAUUCACAGAUAAGCCACACGGAGCAACAUGCGUUUACCGUCCAAAGGCUGCCCUUCUGGCGGUGGUGAUGGGAGCGCUGGGCCAGGAGAACAGAGACCCUCAUUCACAAGCACUUACUUGGGUCGGCUUAUUCCGCCGGUGAUAACUCAGGCGUCUGGACAGGCAGAUGCCGGCGGUGUCAGGUUCUCUCUAGAAGCCACUGGAAAUUGCUCAGAGAGCUUGGAGUUAGAGACUAGGUUUUGAGUAGAAAAAGAUGGAGUCUGGACUUCCCCGCCCUCCCUUAGAGCCCUGAGCCCUAAGGACACCAUCUGAGGACACCCCGGGGCACCCUAAGUUCCAGGAAAGGCAGACAGCAGAGUGAGGAGAAGCCCCCCUCCGUGCCGGGGGCUCCACGGCACAGGCGUUGCCGAAACUGCGGGCAGGGACGUGCCAGGCCCCCCGGCGCCCGCAGAGCCCAACACUGUCCAGACCCAGGGCCUUGGCUGCCCAGCAUUUCCCUAUAAAAAUCAUUUGAGUUUCAUUGUGGACUCACUUGUGCGGUCCUUCUGCAUCCGCUUCCAUAAAGAAGCAAGUGUCUUUGCCAGGUGGAGGGCAUGGGAACUGCCCAGGCCUGCCCAGUGCCCGCCCUGCCAGUAUGAGGGUGGAGGUGGGCUCAGAAGGUCCACCCGGUGGAGACUUCACAUUCCGGAAGGACCCCACUUCAGGGGAGUCGCUACAGUAGCUUCAAACACAGCUAUGUGUGCAGCGCGGGGUCCAUCAUGGCAGAGAGACGCCCGCCAAGCCUCCCGCCUGUAAUGCACAACGUUAUUCGUCAAUCCUGUAAUUGCCACGUGACUAGGAAGAUUGUAUUGCAUCGAGGGUGUUUUUGUGUUAAAGACAAUAAACGCAGACCUUCAAAUUAUCAACAA
Molecule: long non-coding RNA, 3028 nt
Organism: Orcinus orca (killer whale)
Lineage: Eukaryota; Metazoa; Chordata; Mammalia; Artiodactyla; Delphinidae
Exons: 2
Source: RefSeq, a predicted model, not a curated record